This 30-nucleotide non-coding RNA is filed under the name Macaca fascicularis (crab-eating macaque). The record is from RNAcentral. Lineage: Eukaryota; Metazoa; Chordata; Mammalia; Primates; Cercopithecidae. RNAcentral also lists the same sequence under 1 other name.
UGGAAGACAAGGAUCUUCUUUGGUUGUUUU